This is a non-coding RNA of Schistosoma curassoni, 45 nucleotides long. NCBI's taxonomy places the organism in Eukaryota, Metazoa, Platyhelminthes, Trematoda, Strigeidida, Schistosomatidae. The record is from Rfam.
AUCCAACUGACGAGUCCGACAUAGGACGAAACGUGUGUACUGAAU